This 397-nucleotide ribosomal RNA is filed under the name uncultured bacterium. RNAcentral's name for it is "partial 16S ribosomal RNA". It matches the Rfam family "Bacterial small subunit ribosomal RNA", at positions 338 to 732 of the family's 1533-position model. The record is from RNAcentral.
CCUACGGGUGGCAGCAGUGAGGAAUAUUGGUCAAUGGACGCAAGUCUGAACCAGCCAUGCCGCGUGCAGGAAGACGGCUCUAUGAGUUGUAAACUUCUUUUGUACGAGGGUAAAUCCCGAUACGUGUAUCGGGUUGAAAGUAUCUUACGAAUAAGGAUCGGCUAACUCCGUGCCAGCAGCCGCGGUAAUACGGAGGAUUCAAGCGUUAUCCGGAUUUAUUGGGUUUAAAGGGUGCGUAGGCGGUUCGUUAAGUUAGAGGUGAAAACCCGGGGCUCAAAUCCGGCACUGCCUCUGAUACUGGCGGGCUAGAGUUUGGUUGAGGUAGGCGGAAUGUACGGUGUAGCGGUGAAAUGCAUAGAGAUCAUACAGAACACCGAUUGCGAAGGCAGCUUACCAA